RNAcentral lists this ribosomal RNA (404 nucleotides) under uncultured bacterium. RNAcentral describes it as "partial 16S ribosomal RNA". It matches the Rfam family "Bacterial small subunit ribosomal RNA", at positions 28 to 526 of the family's 1533-position model. The record is from RNAcentral.
GACGAACGCUGGCGGCGUGCCUAAUACAUGCAAGUCGAACGCAGGGGGGAAUGGUGAGUAACACGUGGGUAACCUGCCCAUCAGUGGGGAUAACGCUUGGAAACAGGUGCUACACCGAUACGGAUGGCUGGACCCGCGGUGCAUUAGCUAGUUGGUGGGGGAACGGCUCACCAAGGCCACGAUUCAUAGCCGACCUGAGAGGGUGAUCGGCCACACUGGGACUGAGACACGGCCCAGACUCCUACGGGAGGCAGCAGUAGGGAAUCUUCCGCAAUGGACGAAAGUCUGACCGAGCAACGCCGCGUGAGUGAAGAAGGUUUUCGGGUUGUAAAACACUUUUGUUAGGGAAGCGGUACCUACCCAGAAAGCCACGGCUAACUACGUGCCAGCAGCCGCGGUAAUUC